RNAcentral lists this ribosomal RNA (498 nucleotides) under uncultured bacterium. Its description in RNAcentral is "partial 16S ribosomal RNA". It matches the Rfam family "Bacterial small subunit ribosomal RNA", at positions 28 to 523 of the family's 1533-position model. The record is from RNAcentral.
GAUGAACGCUAGCGGCAGGCUUAACACAUGCAAGUCGAGGGGCAGCACGGACUUCGGUCUGGUGGCGACCGGCAAACGGGUGCGGAACACGUACACAAUCUACCUUUAUCUGGGGUAUAGCCCGAAGAAAUUCGGAUUAAUCCCCCAUAAUAUAUUAGAGUGGCAUCACUUCGAUAUUAAAACUCCGGUGGAUAAAGAUGAGUGUGCGUCCCAUUAGCUAGUUGGUAGGGUAACGGCCUACCAAGGCAACGAUGGGUAGCUGGUGUGAGAGCACGACAAGCCACACGGGGACUGAGACACGGGCCCGACUCCUACGGGAGGCAGCAGUGAGGAAUAUUGGUCAAUGGACGCAAGUCUGAACCAGCCAUGCCGCGUGAAGGAUGAAGGCCUUCUGGGUUGUAAACUUCUUUUAUUGGGGAAGAAAAUUACGGUUUCUACUGUAACCGACGGUACCUAAGGAAUAAGCACCGGCUAACUCCGUGCCAGCCGCCGCUGUAA